AUGUGUGUGGUUGUGGUGUGUGUGUGGUUGUAUGUGUGUGGUUGUGUGGUUGUGUGUGUGGUUGUGUGUGUGUGUGCAUGUGUGUGUGGUUGUUGUGUGUGUGUGGUUGUGUGUGGUGUGUGUGUGUGUGCAUGUGUGUGUGCAUGUGUGUGUGGUUGUGUGUGUGCGUGUGUGUGGUGUGUGGUUGUGUGGGUGGUUGUGGGUGGGUGUGGUUGUGUGUGUGUGUGUGGUUGUGUGCGUGUGGUUGUGUGUGGUGUGUGUGUGUGUGUGUGUGGUUGUGUGAGUGUGGUUGUGUGUGUGUGUGGUGUGGUGUGUGUGUGUGUGGUUGUGUGGGUGGUUGUGUGUGUGUGUGUGUGUUGUGGUUGUGUGUGUGUUGUGUGUGUGUUGUGUGUGUGGUGGUUGUGUGUGGUGUGUGUGUGCAUGUGUGUGUGGUUGUGUGUGGUGUGGUUGUGUGUGUGUGGUUUGUGUGUGUGGUGGUUGUGUGUGUGUGUUGUGUGUGUGCAUGUGUGUGUGUGGUUGUGUGUGUUGUGUGUGGUUGUGUGUGUGGUGUGUGUGUGUGUGCAUGUGUGUGUGUGGUUGUGUGUGCGUGUGUGUGCGUGUGUGUGUGGUUGGUGUGUGUGUGCGUGUGUGUGUGCGUGUGUGUGUGGUUGUGUGUGUGCGGGUGUGUGUGUGUUGUGUGUGUGUGCAUGUGGUUAUGUGUGUGUGUGUGCAUGUGUGUGUGGUUGUGUGUGGUGUGGUUGUGUGUGUGUGUGCGUGUGUGUGGUUGUGUGUGUGUGGUUGUGUGUGUGCGUGUGUGUGUGUGCAUGUGUGUGUGCAUGUGUGUGUGGUUGUGUGUGUGGUUGUGUGUGUGUGUGUGGUGGUUGUGUGUGUGUGUGUGCGGGUGUGUGUGUGGUUGUGUGUGUGUGGUGUGUGUGUGGUGUGUGUGUGUGUGUUGUGGUUGUGUGUGUGUGGUUGUGUGUGUGUGGUUGUAUUGGUUGUGUGUGUGUGUGUGUGUGGUUGUGUGGUGUGUGUGUGCGUGUGUGUGUGUGCAGUUGUGUGUGUGGUGUGUGUGUGCGUGUGUGUGGUGGUUGUGUGUGUGUGGUUGUGUGUGUGCGUGUGUGUGUGGUGUGUGGUUGUGGUGUGUGUGUGUGCGUGUGUGUGUGCGUGUGUGUGGUUGUGUGUGUGUGUGUGGGUGUGUGUGUGGUUGUGGUGUGUGUGGUUGUUGUGUGUGUGGUUUGUGUGUGUUGUGUGUGUGUGCAUGUGUGUGUGGUUGUAUGUGUGUGGUUGUGUUGUGUGUGUGUGUUGUUGUGUGUGUGUGUGUGCAUGUGGUUAUGUGUGUGGUUGUGUGUGUGUGCAUGUGUGUGUGGUUGUGUGUGCGUGUGCGUGUGUGUGUGGUUUUGUGUGUGUGUGGUGUAUGUGCGUGUGUGUGUGCGUGUGUGUGUGCAGGCGUGUGUGUGUGGUUGUGUGUGCGUGUGUGUGCGUGUGUGUGUGGUUGUGUGUGUGUGUGCAUGUGUGUGUGUGUGUGUGUGCGGGUGUGUGGUCGUGCGUGUGUGUGUGGUUGUUGAUCAGCCUGUAGGAGAGUGUUGCCCACGUCCGGUUCCCCAUCCUCCCUGA
Molecule: long non-coding RNA, 1593 nt
Filed under: Felis catus (domestic cat)
Lineage: Eukaryota; Metazoa; Chordata; Mammalia; Carnivora; Felidae
Description: lncRNA (ENSFCAG00000050766.1)
Source: RNAcentral